This 394-nucleotide ribosomal RNA is filed under the name uncultured bacterium. RNAcentral describes it as "partial 16S ribosomal RNA". It matches the Rfam family "Bacterial small subunit ribosomal RNA", at positions 523 to 918 of the family's 1533-position model. The record is from RNAcentral.
AUACGUAGGGAGCGAGCGUUGUCCGGAAUUACUGGGCGUAAAGGGCGCGUAGGCGGCGCUUCAAGUCGUCUGUCAAAUGGGAGGGCUUAACCCUUUUUCGCAGACGAAACUGGAGAGCUUGAGAAGCAGAGAGGCAAACAGAAUUCCUGGUGUAGCGGGGAAAUGCGUAGAUAUCAGGAAGAAUACCAAUGGCGAAGGCGGUUUGCUGGCUGCAUACUGACGCUGAAGCGCGAAAGCCAGGGGAGCAAACGGGAUUAGAUACCCCGGUAGUCCUGGCAGUAAACGAUGUAUGCUGGGUGUGAGACUAGCGAUAGUUUCGUGCCGAAGUUAACGCGAUAAGCAUACCGCCUGGGGAGUACGGUCGCAAGAUUGAAACUCAAAGGAAUUGACGGGG